CAUUUCAAUAUUCUGAUCUGGUCACUUUUCACUUUAGCAGAACUUAACUUGGAGUUAAAUACAUCAUUUCAGCAGAAAUAUUCAGAUUUGCUUCAAAUUCUGAGUGCACAAAAACUAAGCAAGUUUUAUCAACUUCAGUUUCUAAAAAUCAGAAGAACAGCUGUUGUAAGAAUGGGGUAUUCCCUCAUAAAACAUUCCUUUGAUCUCCUGUUUGUAUUUGCUUUCCUGGAUUUUAUGUUUGUUGGAGCUCAGGAGAAGCCACCCUGUCACUUGGAUGAUUACCACUACGAGUACACAGAAUGUGAUAGUGAAGGUGGCAGGUGGAGAGUGUCUGUACCCAAAAAUCCAGACAACUGUGUCCCUGGCCAAUCACCUGGUGUAGCAGCUCGUGGGAAAGAAUGCAACUUUGCCUGCAGUGCAGGUCAGUAUCUUGAUAUUCAAGGGAAGCAGGAUUGCCUCCCUUGUCCAGCAGGCACAUACUCCCUUGGUGGAGGAAUCAGGUUUGAUGAAUGGGAAAAGUUGCCCACAGGUUUUGCUGUUAAAGUAGAGCGUGUUGGACCUAGUAGUGGCUUUGAUCCAUGGAGGAAAAAAGUACACGAGAAAGAAAAAAACUGCUCUCGAUCUGAGUGGACAACCCGAGGAAACUAUAUCAUGUCUGUACCUGGCCAAUGUCCAAGCAAUUUACUUUUUUCUGCCAAACUUGUCAGACCAGGAAAAGUUUCUUUUGAAUACCAGUACACAGAUGUGGAGUCAAUAUUUCAUUUUACUGUCCAGAAUGACCAGUGUCAAGCUUUAGACAGUGAAGACAAUGACAGGUGGCCUGAGAUUACCACUGAGGGAAAGUGGGCAACCAUUGUGAUAAAUCUGAAAUCAGGCAUGAAUGUGCUACAGUGGAGAACCAUUGGAGCACUAUCUGAUAUGAUGCAUACCAGUGUCAGUCCUGUCCUCAUUAGAAAGAUUGAAAUUACUGGUGUUGCCUACACGUAUGAGUGCACAAAAUGUGCCAAUGGCACCUACAGCAGUGGUGGCUCAUCUUUCUGCCAGUUUUGUGGAGUAGACACGUAUUCAGGUCAUGGUGCAGCUCAAUGUACACCUUGUCAAGCCACGGAAUAUGCAGAGCCAGGGUCAGCAUCCUGCACCAUGAGACCUGCAUGUACUCUCUACGACUACUACAAGUAUCAGAAACCUUGUAAUGCUGAUGGGAAGACCCAGGUGAGCUACAAAUGGAUUGAACCAAAGAUCUGCAAUGAUAAAGAUCCCCUGUCUGUCCCACUGCCCAAUGAUGGGGAGCCUGUAGACUGUCCACCCUGUAAUGCUGGCAUGUACCAAGUGAACAAUUCUAAUUGUGAAUUCUGUCCACCUAACCAUUAUGUUGAUGAACACAAUAUGUGUAUGGAGUGUAAAACCAGCACAUCCCCCAAAUACCAGAUAGACUACAAAUAUUGGACGGAGAUGCCACCUAAUGUUUCCACCCAUUGUGUUUCUGUUGGAAUGUCAGACUGCACCAGCACGGCAGGCUGGAUACCCUCAGGAGACCACAUCAGGACAAGUUUUGGUGUUAGUGACACCAACAUCUUCAUUGUUCUGAUCCUCAAGUUGGCUGGGUUCAAGGGGGAGCCUGGCACUGUGGAUGGCAAACCUAUUCCACUCAGUACAGUCACCUUUGACCUGGAGAUGGAGUGUGCCACUGCCUGUCAGCUGCUAUUGCUGACUGAUGCAACUGGAAAAAAUGCAGUUCUACAGACAUGGGAGUCUUCCACUCCCCGCAAGACAUUUAGUCAUGAUAUCUACACCAAUGAAUCCCUGACCUUGACUUGGGCCUUUCAGCCUGAUGACUUUGGUCUGUCUAUGACUGAGGCACAAGAUGAAACCAUCAAAAUGAAAAAUGUGGCUAAGAUUUAUAACAUUCUUGUGACCAACACGUUAGAAGGGGGUGCAACUAUGUGUGAAUCCUGCCCUCAGGGAAAAUCUAAUUCAGGGUGUAAACCGUGUCCUGAUGGCCAGUACAUAGACUCCCACACACAAAGAUGUGAGCCAUGUCCAGAAGGCACUGUACUACCCAGCAGCAACUCCUGGGGCAAGUCCUCCUGCAAGCCAUGUGGUCUAGGGCUGCAUCCUGUCAAUGGCAGGUCCUGUAAAUCUGACUGUCGCUACACUGAUGACUUGGGCAGGCAAUACGACUUCACCGCACUCGACGGUGUCCAUUUCAUUGCUGGGGUGAGGUUGUUUACUGUCAGUGGAACACAGUACUACCAUGGUUUCAACAUCUCCUUGUGUAGCUAUGGCAACAAGCCACUCCCAACUUGUGUCAACAAUGUUACUACAGAUGCUUUGAAAAAGAGCUCCCACGACCAGGAGAUAGUGUCUAGAGAUAAUCUGUUGAACCAACCAGGUGCCUUGACCAGCAUGGUCUGUCGGUCCACCCUCAUACCUUCAGGUGACCAGGACAAACCUGUAUCCACCCAGCCUGUCAGCCUGGGCACCCACUUGACAAAGAUCCUGACUAACAUCAGCCUACAGGGCCUGUACACUGAAGAUGGCUUCCCAGCUCAAGAAACUGAAAGAGACAUACAUUUCUAUUACGAGUCUGGCGGCUCCACCAGUGCCUGUCCUAAUGGUAGAACUACCAUCAUAAGUUUAAGAUGUGACCCAGAUAAGACAGGCCAGGGAGAGAUAUUGCUGCCCCCCAAGUGUUCAGAUGGAACUUGUGAUGGCUGCUUGUUUCACUUCCUCUGGUUGACCAACCAUGCAUGCCCUAGAUGCCGCAGGGAGGACUACUCAGUGCUGAAAGGGGAAUGUAUUAAAGGGGAGCAACGCAUUCACUACUUUCCACCAGCCCAUUGCACCCACCUGCCUGAAGAUGCACUGACACCUGUCAGCCAGAAAUGUCAAGUUUUGCCCUUUGCUGUGAUGGUGGCCAUACCUGUUUCACUUGGCCUUGGACUCAUCAUGAUGCUGCUGCUAAUUUACUGCUGGUCCAGGAAUAAAAAGCUAGAGUACAAGUACAUGAAGCUUGUGGAAACAGCAGGCGGACAUGAUGGUGAACUGCCUGCAGCAGAGACUUGUGGCAUGGAGGAUGAUGAGGAGGAUGUCCACUUUGUUGACCACAAGAGUAUCAGCUUCUUGGGUAAAAUCAAAGAGAAGUUCUCCAAGAAUCCAAUGAAGGAGGAUGACAACCCUUUUGUGGCAGUGAAGAUGUCAGAGAAGAUGUCAUUGACGUAGUUGCAUCUGGAAGAUUGACGCAUGCACAUAUUUAGUGAGAAUGUCAAACUUGGUGUGUGACAGAAGUGUUUGGUCAGAGUUUCACAGUCGGUCACAGUGGAUGUGUCCCCUUAUUUUUAUGUUGACAGAUUUCAUAUGGUGGGGUAGAUGUAAGAAAAGGGAGAAACCCUUUGCAGUCUUUUAAAAACUCAUCUCAAUCCUCUCUCCACUUACCCAAGAUGAUCUGCUUUUUUAAGGUGGUGGGAAAUCUCUGUGCUUUAAAUGUCAUUGUUACGUAUAUCCUUGUGGAAGCUUUUUAAAUAUCUGAGUGAAUCUAGUCAAGGUUUUCUGUCUUGUACUAAUAGUUUUAAAAUCUCUCUGGGAAAUCCUCUACUGAAAGUUUUUUUUAAAAAACAAGUUCAUUAUUUAUUUCUUUAGAAAAAUUGAUUUCCAUGGUUGUAAGCUGGUUAGUGCUCUGUUAGAAAUAGUUUAUUUCCAUUUCUGUAUGAGACUACCACAGUAAGAUUAAUGAUCCAUAAAACUCUCUCCCAGCAUUUACUGGUUUAUUCAAAUAUUUCCUCACUCACACACUUCAAGUCAUGCAUGUAAAAUACUCAUUUUCCUUCAAACUUUAUUUUCUUCUAAAAUGCAUAAUGAAUUAUUUUUUUGUCACAACUAAGCACAUAACUUUGAUUAAAUUUGGAAAAACAUGAAUUCCAGGGUUUCUAGACUUAUUUAUUUUCACUAAUUUCAUGUAGUCAGAUAUGACUGGCUGUGUAACACAUUGUACAUUGUUAACUAUUAUUUGCUUGGAGUCAUUUCUUUUAUACAAGUCACUUUAAUGUGGUUAAACUAUUUUUGUCCAUUUGAUUCAUCUAAUUAACAUUGGGUUUACACAUUGAAAAUCAAAUGCUUGCUUUUCAGUUCUAUCCUUAUUCAUCUCUAUAUGUAUAAAAUUACAGAAUGUUUUAGUCAGUGACUUACUUCCCCUAUCACUGCCUUUUCUCAUUGAACUGCUGCUUGAUGGACUGCUUAGUGUUGGUGUGUAUUGAGUGAUAAGGGACUGGUGGAUUAGCUUAGUGUUGGUGUGUAUUGAGUGAUAAGGGACUGGUGGAUUGGUUUAGUGUUGGUGUGUGUUGAGUGAUAAGGGACUGGUGGAUUGGCUUAGUGUUGGUGUGUAUUGAGUGAUAAGGGACUGGUGGAUUGGCUUAGUGUUGGUGUGUAUUGAGUGAUAAGGGACUGGUGGAUUGGCUUAGUGUUGGUGUGUAUUGAGUGAUAAGGGACUGGUGGGUUGGUUUAGUGUUGGGUGAUAAGGGACUGGUGGAUUGGCUUAGUGUUGGUGUGUAUUGAGUGAUAAGGGACUGGUGGAUUGGCUUAGUGUUGGUGUGCAUUGAAUGAUAAGGGACUGGUGGAUUGGCUCCAGUGUUAGUGUGUAUUGAGUGAUAAGGGACUGGUGGAUUGGCUUAGUGUGUAUUGAGUGAUAAGGGACUGGUGGAUUGGCUUAGUGUUGGUGUGUAUUGAGUGAUAAGGGACUGGUUUAGUGUUGGUGUGUGUUGAAUGAUGAAAGAAUCAGUGGACUGACAUCUCCCCUAUAUCACCUGCAAGCAAUAGUGUUGUAUUUAGCAAAAUUGCUAUGGUUGUUUUACACACCCCUACAGAUCUGUAAAACAAAUGUGUAUAUGUUCUUGUGUAUUAUUGCCAUAAACUUGCUGUGUUGUUUCAAGAUUGUAUUAAAAUCAUCUUAACAAAUGUA
RNA transcript from Physella acuta, 4954 nucleotides. It is a transcript of the gene named endosome/lysosome-associated apoptosis and autophagy regulator family member 2, with no coding region annotated. NCBI's taxonomy places the organism in Eukaryota, Metazoa, Mollusca, Gastropoda, Physidae. The record is from RefSeq and is a predicted model, not a curated record.